UUGGUCAUUUAGAGGAAGUAAAAGUCGUAACAAGGUUUCCCGCAGAAUGUUCCGUCUCUAUCGAAGCUUUGAACACGCACGACUCUAAAUAAUGCCGUCAAGGUCCACUAUCUUUAGCGGGCAACGUCACAUAAAUGCUGGAACCGUUAGCAAUAACCGCACCAGCAGCCGAGGUUCUCCUGGGCUCACAGAUUAGAUGGUGACGGUUGAAUGAAGGAAGAUGGAAGAGCACGCACGCUGCCUGGAACCUUCUGAUCAUUCAAUUAAGAUAUAACCGGUCAACCGUGGUGAAACGGUUGGAGAAAUGUUCCGUAGGUGAACCUGCGGAAGGAUCAUUA
Molecule: ribosomal RNA, 338 nt
Filed under: Verrucaria anziana
Lineage: Eukaryota; Fungi; Ascomycota; Eurotiomycetes; Verrucariales; Verrucariaceae
Description: partial 18S small subunit ribosomal RNA
Source: RNAcentral